UACACUUAGGUUGGAGUCAGAAGUUUACAUACACUUAGGUUGGAGUCAGAAGUUUACGUUCACUUAGGUUGGAGUCAGAAGUUUACAUACACUUAGGUUGGAGUCAGAAGUUUACGUUCACUUAGGUUGGAGUCAGAAGUUUACGUUCACUUAGGUUGGAGUCAGAAGUUUACAUACACUUAGGUUGGAGUCAGAAGUUUACGUUCACUUAGGUUGGAGUCAGAAGUUUACAUACACUUAGGUUGGAGUCAGAAGUUUACAUUCACUUAGGUUGGAGUCAGAAGUUUACAUACACUUAGGUUGGAGUCAGAAGUUUACAUACACUUAGGUUGGAGUCAGAAGUUUACGUUCACUUAGGUUGGAGUCAGAAGUUUACAUACACUUAGGUUGGAGUCAGAAGUUUACAUACACUUAGGUUGGAGUCAGAAGUUUACGUUCACUUAGGUUGGAGUCAGAAGUUUACGUUAUCUUAGGUUGGAGUCAGAAGUUUACAUACACUUAGGUUGAAGUCAGAAGUUUACAUACACGUAGGUUGGAGUCAGAAGUUUACAUACACGUAGGUUGGAGUCAGAAGUUUACAUACACUUAGGUUGGAGUCAGAAGUUUACAUACACUUAGGUUGGAGUCAGAAGUUUACAUACACUUAGGUUGGAGUCAGAAGUUUACUUACAUACACUUAGGUUGGAGUCAGAAGUUUACAUACACUUAGGUUGGAGUCAGAAGUUUACAUUCACUUAGGUUGGAGUCAGAAGUUUACAUACACUUAGGUUGGAGUCAGAAGUUUACAUACACUUAGGUUGGAGUCAGAAGUUUACAUACACUUAGGUUGGAGUCAGAAGUUUACGUUCACUUAGGUUGGAGUCUGAAGUUUACGUUCACUUAGGUUGGAGUCAGAAGUUUACGUUCACUUAGGUUGGAGUCAGAAGUUUACGUUCACUUAGGUUGGAGUCAGAAGUUUACAUACACGUAGGUUGGAGUCAGAAGUUUACAUACACGUAGGUUGGAGUCAGAAGUUUACAUACACUUAGGUUGGAGUCAGAAGUUUACAUACACUUAGGUUGGAGUCAGAAGUUUACAUACACUUAGGUUGGAGUCAGAAGUUUACAUACACUUAGGUUGGAGUCAGAAGUUUACGUUCACUUAGGUUGGAGUCAUUAAAACUCGUUUUUCAACCACUCCACAAAUUCCUUGCUAACAAACUAUAGUGUUGGCAAGUCGGUUAGGACAUCUACUCUGUG
Molecule: long non-coding RNA, 1238 nt
Filed under: Salmo trutta (river trout)
Lineage: Eukaryota; Metazoa; Chordata; Actinopteri; Salmoniformes; Salmonidae
Description: lncRNA (ENSSTUG00000000896.1)
Source: RNAcentral